This is a long non-coding RNA of Dicentrarchus labrax (European seabass), 869 nucleotides long. RefSeq lists it as uncharacterized. Lineage: Eukaryota; Metazoa; Chordata; Actinopteri; Moronidae. The record is from RefSeq and is a predicted model, not a curated record. The transcript is spliced from 3 exons.
GGAUCUCUAACUGUCCAUGACUCUUCUCCAUGUCACAAAGGCUUUGAUUCUCCAUUUGAAACAAAGACAUUUAUCUGAGCUAAAGUACGUAGUUGUCAGUAUUCAAACAGGGCUGGACAAUCUGAUCUCAAAUCAGUAUCAGGAGAAACAUUCAGCUUCAUAAUGAGAAAUGGGUCCGUGUAUGUUUUGGUCAUUGGAUUUUCCUUUCAGAAACGGGUAUUAAAAAACAGAAAACGAGUGGUUAUUUGAUUUUCGUUUUAAAAUACAAAAAUUAAAAUUGAAAUACAAGGCGUUUUUCUUUUUCAUGGUCAGAAAGGGAUGAGCGAAAUUAAAAAAAUAUUCGAUUUUCAUUUUCUAUUUCAUAUAACAAAAAAUAAAAUCACUAGAAAACAGAAACGGAAAAAAGGCCUGUUGUUUCAUAUUCUGAGACCGGAUGUUGUCAUUAACAGGACGGUGCUGUGGAGAAGAAACAGUAGACUAGUAGACUGCGGUCAAUCCAGCCGUGAGUCCGAUCUCCGUGGUCAAAUCAGCCGCACUUAAAUUUCGAGUGUACAAGUAUUCUCAGCAUUAUGGUAAAUGCGGAGAAACAGCGUAUUUACUUCCGGUUUUCAAAAUAAAGGUAUUUAGAACAGUAAGCUAUAAUUAAAAUAUGUUACAUUAAAGUGUUUCAUGCGCCCCUGAUGAAUAAAAAAACACUUUAUAUCAAGUAUCUUUACUGCACCAGUGUGGAGAAAUGCCAAAAUAAAAGUCUCAUAUUUAUGCCUCCAGAGAUUGCAUAUUUGACCCUAUUUGAGGUACUGUAAAAACAUAUUGCUCAGUGUUUCCUGGCUACUGAUGGUAUAUUUGACUUUUAUGAGACUACAAGCAUA